CCGUGGAGGCGAGACGUUCGGUACCCGGUGCGUCCUUAGAGUCGGGUUGUUUGGGAAUGCAGCCCUAAGCGGGUGGUAAACUCCAUCCAAGGCUAAAUACCAGCACGAGUCCGAUAGCGAAGAAGUACCGCGAGGGAAGGUUGAAAAGAACUUUGAAGAGAGAGUUCAAGAGUACGUGAAACCGCUGAGAGGCAAACUGGUGGAACUGAAAUGGUCCCGAGGAAUUCAGCCGUUGGUGGGGACACAGUCUUUGGUGCUUGAUUUAACGACAACGCCUUUGACUGACGUGUCUAUCAUCGGUGCACUUUCCUCGUUAUGGGCCCGACCACGACCGGUGAGCUGAUCUGUCUGUCGUGCUUGGAAGAUAGCGCCGUCUUCGGAAGGCGUGUUAUAGACUUGCAUACGGAGCAGUCGGCGCACUGGAUGAUAGUGCCUGCCCAUUGGGCUCAUAUGGUGGUUGUUUUGACGGCGAGUUCUGAUGUCACUACUUCGGUAGAGUCGUUAGACUGUGUUGGCCUUAUGACUGUCCUCUAUGAUUGGCACUGGUAAGUCUGUGGUUGUGAAGUAGGUAGUCCACCUGACCCGUCUUGAAACACGGACCAAGGAGUCUAACAUGUGCGCGAGUCAUUGGGUUCACGAAACCUAAAGGCGCAGUGAAGGUAAAGAUCUGUUUUGGCAGAUUGAGGUGGGNAUGNUGGGUUACGCGCCCNGCCNCACUACCGGCCCNUUCUAUAUGUAUCUCAUAGGANCGGAGCAAGAGCGUACACNUUGGGACCCNAAANAUGGNGAACUAUGCUUGCGCAGGUCGAAACCMNAGNAAACUYGGUGGAGGACCGCANNRAUUUNACGUGCAAAUNGAUCGUCAAACGUGAGUAUNNGGGCGAAAGACUAAUCNAACCAUCUAGUAGCUGGUUCCCUYNGAAGUUUCC
RNAcentral lists this ribosomal RNA (929 nucleotides) under Pseudobiceros caribbensis. Its description in RNAcentral is "partial large subunit ribosomal RNA". The record is from RNAcentral. Lineage: Eukaryota; Metazoa; Platyhelminthes; Polycladida; Pseudocerotidae.